AUGGAUAAAGUCGGAAAUUCAAACAGUUAGCGCAGGCUCUCUAUGAGCCCUUCCCCUAGGCCCAAAGCAGGAUCAGCAUUGGGCCUUUUUUU
This 92-nucleotide small RNA is filed under the name Vibrio tubiashii. The record is from RNAcentral. Lineage: Bacteria; Pseudomonadati; Pseudomonadota; Gammaproteobacteria; Vibrionales; Vibrionaceae.